This 162-nucleotide non-coding RNA is filed under the name uncultured Prevotella sp. Lineage: Bacteria; Pseudomonadati; Bacteroidota; Bacteroidia; Bacteroidales; Prevotellaceae. The record is from RNAcentral.
AUUUGGUUCACGUAAUGUGAUUAAAAGGGAACAGAGUGAGAAUCUCUGACAGUCCCGCUGCUGUAGAUUGCCUUUAUACAGCCGGAAUACAAAAUGUCACUGACAGCAAUGUUCGGGAAGACAUUCCGGUUUGGCAAAAGUCAGAAGACCUGCCGAUGUGAU